Molecule: small nucleolar RNA, 105 nt
Organism: Zingiber officinale
Lineage: Eukaryota; Viridiplantae; Streptophyta; Magnoliopsida; Zingiberales; Zingiberaceae
Source: RefSeq, a predicted model, not a curated record
AAUCCAUGAUGUGGGCAUUGUUUGAGCAUGCUAUUGUAUCUAUCCCAUGCUUCAAAUAAGGAUUAUGAAUCUGACUAUCUGAAGCUUGUAAUUGUUGGUUAGUCC